Molecule: ribosomal RNA, 2490 nt
Filed under: Escherichia coli HVH 150 (4-3258106)
Lineage: Bacteria; Pseudomonadati; Pseudomonadota; Gammaproteobacteria; Enterobacterales; Enterobacteriaceae
Description: bacterial LSU rRNA
Rfam family: Bacterial large subunit ribosomal RNA
Source: RNAcentral
AUCCUCCAAGGCUAAAUACUCCUGACUGACCGAUAGUGAACCAGUACCGUGAGGGAAAGGCGAAAAGAACCCCGGCGAGGGGAGUGAAAAAGAACCUGAAACCGUGUACGUACAAGCAGUGGGAGCACGCUUAGGCGUGUGACUGCGUACCUUUUGUAUAAUGGGUCAGCGACUUAUAUUCUGUAGCAAGGUUAACCGAAUAGGGGAGCCGAAGGGAAACCGAGUCUUAACUGGGCGUUAAGUUGCAGGGUAUAGACCCGAAACCCGGUGAUCUAGCCAUGGGCAGGUUGAAGGUUGGGUAACACUAACUGGAGGACCGAACCGACUAAUGUUGAAAAAUUAGCGGAUGACUUGUGGCUGGGGGUGAAAGGCCAAUCAAACCGGGAGAUAGCUGGUUCUCCCCGAAAGCUAUUUAGGUAGCGCCUCGUGAAUUCAUCUCCGGGGGUAGAGCACUGUUUCGGCAAGGGGGUCAUCCCGACUUACCAACCCGAUGCAAACUGCGAAUACCGGAGAAUGUUAUCACGGGAGACACACGGCGGGUGCUAACGUCCGUCGUGAAGAGGGAAACAACCCAGACCGCCAGCUAAGGUCCCAAAGUCAUGGUUAAGUGGGAAACGAUGUGGGAAGGCCCAGACAGCCAGGAUGUUGGCUUAGAAGCAGCCAUCAUUUAAAGAAAGCGUAAUAGCUCACUGGUCGAGUCGGCCUGCGCGGAAGAUGUAACGGGGCUAAACCAUGCACCGAAGCUGCGGCAGCGACGCUUAUGCGUUGUUGGGUAGGGGAGCGUUCUGUAAGCCUGUGAAGGUGUGCUGUGAGGCAUGCUGGAGGUAUCAGAAGUGCGAAUGCUGACAUAAGUAACGAUAAAGCGGGUGAAAAGCCCGCUCGCCGGAAGACCAAGGGUUCCUGUCCAACGUUAAUCGGGGCAGGGUGAGUCGACCCCUAAGGCGAGGCCGAAAGGCGUAGUCGAUGGGAAACAGGUUAAUAUUCCUGUACUUGGUGUUACUGCGAAGGGGGGACGGAGAAGGCUAUGUUGGCCGGGCGACGGUUGUCCCGGUUUAAGCGUGUAGGCUGGUUUUCCAGGCAAAUCCGGAAAAUCAAGGCUGAGGCGUGAUGACGAGGCACUACGGUGCUGAAGCAACAAAUGCCCUGCUUCCAGGAAAAGCCUCUAAGCAUCAGGUAACAUCAAAUCGUACCCCAAACCGACACAGGUGGUCAGGUAGAGAAUACCAAGGCGCUUGAGAGAACUCGGGUGAAGGAACUAGGCAAAAUGGUGCCGUAACUUCGGGAGAAGGCACGCUGAUAUGUAGGUGAAGUCCCUCGCGGAUGGAGCUGAAAUCAGUCGAAGAUACCAGCUGGCUGCAACUGUUUAUUAAAAACACAGCACUGUGCAAACACGAAAGUGGACGUAUACGGUGUGACGCCUGCCCGGUGCCGGAAGGUUAAUUGAUGGGGUCAGCGCAAGCGAAGCUCUUGAUCGAAGCCCCGGUAAACGGCGGCCGUAACUAUAACGGUCCUAAGGUAGCGAAAUUCCUUGUCGGGUAAGUUCCGACCUGCACGAAUGGCGUAAUGAUGGCCAGGCUGUCUCCACCCGAGACUCAGUGAAAUUGAACUCGCUGUGAAGAUGCAGUGUACCCGCGGCAAGACGGAAAGACCCCGUGAACCUUUACUAUAGCUUGACACUGAACAUUGAGCCUUGAUGUGUAGGAUAGGUGGGAGGCUUAGAAGUGUGGACGCCAGUCUGCAUGGAGCCGACCUUGAAAUACCACCCUUUAAUGUUUGAUGUUCUAACGUUGACCCGUAAUCCGGGUUGCGGACAGUGUCUGGUGGGUAGUUUGACUGGGGCGGUCUCCUCCUAAAGAGUAACGGAGGAGCACGAAGGUUGGCUAAUCCUGGUCGGACAUCAGGAGGUUAGUGCAAUGGCAUAAGCCAGCUUGACUGCGAGCGUGACGGCGCGAGCAGGUGCGAAAGCAGGUCAUAGUGAUCCGGUGGUUCUGAAUGGAAGGGCCAUCGCUCAACGGAUAAAAGGUACUCCGGGGAUAACAGGCUGAUACCGCCCAAGAGUUCAUAUCGACGGCGGUGUUUGGCACCUCGAUGUCGGCUCAUCACAUCCUGGGGCUGAAGUAGGUCCCAAGGGUAUGGCUGUUCGCCAUUUAAAGUGGUACGCGAGCUGGGUUUAGAACGUCGUGAGACAGUUCGGUCCCUAUCUGCCGUGGGCGCUGGAGAACUGAGGGGGGCUGCUCCUAGUACGAGAGGACCGGAGUGGACGCAUCACUGGUGUUCGGGUUGUCAUGCCAAUGGCACUGCCCGGUAGCUAAAUGCGGAAGAGAUAAGUGCUGAAAGCAUCUAAGCACGAAACUUGCCCCGAGAUGAGUUCUCCCUGACUCCUUGAGAGUCCUGAAGGAACGUUGAAGACGACGACGUUGAUAGGCCGGGUGUGUAAGCGCAGCGAUGCGUUGAGCUAACCGGUACUAAUGAACCGUGAGGCUUAACCUU